AACGAACGCUGGCGGCAUGCCUAACACAUGCAAGUCGAACGAGACCUUCGGGUCUAGUGGCGCACGUGUGCGUAACGCGUGGGAACCUGCCCUUAGGUUCGGAAUAACUCCCCGAAAGGGGUGCUAAUACCGGAUAAUGUCUUCGGACCAAAGAUUUAUCGCCUUUGGAUGGGCCCGCGUUGGAUUAGCUAGUUGGUAGGGUAAAAGCCUACCAAGGCGACGAUCCAUAGCUGGUCGGAGAGGAUGAUCAGCCACACUGGGACUGAGACACGGCCCAGACUCCUACGGGAGGCAGCAGUGGGGAAUAUUGGACAAUGGGCGAAAGCCUGAUACAGCAAUGCCGCGUGAGUGAUGAAGGCCUUAGGGUUGUAAAGCUCUUUUAGCCGGGAUGAUAAUGACAGUACCGGGAGAAUAAGCUCCGGCUAACUCCGUG
RNAcentral lists this ribosomal RNA (433 nucleotides) under uncultured bacterium. Its description in RNAcentral is "partial 16S ribosomal RNA". It matches the Rfam family "Bacterial small subunit ribosomal RNA", at positions 29 to 507 of the family's 1533-position model. The record is from RNAcentral.